CUGCGGCAUUCACAGGUUUCCUUCUUGAAGACAUCUGAUCUGACACGCUGAAAGUUUCCUUGGUCCAAAAGAAGAAGAAGAAACAUGUCUUUGAGAUUUUAGAUGAUGGAGUUCUAACCAGAAGAACAGCUGGACAAUACCUUGAAACACAAAGAAAUUACAAGUUAGAGAUUAGCCAGCAGCAGGCCUUAAAGAGUUCCAGUGGAUGAUGAACCAAUGAAGCUAGAUCAGGAUUACUGACACAUAAUGAAGCUGAUGCUGUUUACACAAGACUUCACACACAGGUGAGAGUGAAACAGCAUCAGGGGAGGCAGGGGAAAGAUUUUAGCAGCCACAUUUGUGUUGGGAGGAAAUUAUUUAACCUGUCAGCACAGCCUCCAUGGUCACAGUAUGAGCUUACGUGAUAGAGACGCAGUCUAAUGGUCAACUAAACAUGAAACCGCUGGAUUGUACCAGGUAAACUUGUAACAUGAAGUGAACUAUUAAACCAUCAAUUAUUAACCACAAUUAUUAUUCUAACAUUUUAAUGCAUUUAAAAGCUAUUUUAAUUCAGUGAUUCAUAUUCAUUUAUAUAACCACAGAGAUAGACAGCAGCCUCAAUAAGGCCACACUGUUCACAAAAUAAUUAAAGGAGCACAGAAAACAGAUCCAAUUUGUAACUCUGACAGGGCUCUUCCUGUUCCUUCUUGGAUAAAGGUGCAGAUACUGGCCCUGCUGAUGGAUUAAGGCCUUCUAUAACCCUGUCCAGCUCUCUUCCAUCUUCUUCAGACUGUACUGGGACACUCCACAAACCUUCUGAUAAUGCCACAGGCUGAGGUUGGCCCCUCAAGUACACCUGUUGUUAAUUUCCUGCACACCAAAGCAGCUGAAACUGAGUAACAAAGCCCUCUGUUACUCAACUGAGCAGAUAAAUCCCUUUAGUUUGACUUAAUGUUAUACUCUGAUUAAAAAGUGUUCCUGUAAUUUUGAGCAGUUGAAUAUAAUUAUAAUUAGCCAGGAGUGUAUAUUACAGUUACAUUAGGACUUACACAAGCACUUACAAGAGCUAGCCCGGUAAAAUGACAGAGCACAGUAGACACAUGUGCAAGCAAAUGAAGUUGUUGAUGAUGGUAGCAUAUUCUUCCCCAAAAAACAAUUAGAGAGGGAUUUAAGUGUUAAAAUUCAGGAAGGAGAAUGAGGGGGUGGCAAUUUCAGUUUUCUGCAAAAAAACAAAACAAGUUUGGAGAAGUGCAACUAGCCCACACUCUCAGAAACAGAUAACUGCCAAUAGCUCUUAAAACAUAAGAGCAGAAAAAUAAAGUGUUAAACAUUGAGCAUGUCUGUAAGAAAUCUGUGCGACAGAAAGAGAUAUUAGGAGACUAAAUUAUUCCAUUGGUUGAAGAUCUGGUGAAAACUGAAAACCUGUAGUGAGGUCAGUGGGAUAAAAAAAAAGAAAAUAAGUGUUAAAUCUGUUCUUCCAGAUUGAAUUGACAUAGGAUAGGCUUCCCAUGGUGGUGAUGGGAAGACGGGAAUUUAACUGAUUCAUCAAAGAUCUCAGAAAGAAACAAGAAGACAUUAACAACAAGAUUUUCCUAAACCUUCUUGUGAAGAAAAUAAAAUAUAAAUAAAGAGCUGUGAGUCUUGAUCUGGAUCAGGCCAACACCAAAAGGUGCAAUUACCAACAAUACUGCCAUGGAUACUUCCUGAUAUAGCUGUAUUUCAAGUAGCUCAUAAAGUACAGUGAUCACUAUUAUAAUACCAUAAUUAAAGAAAAAGCUCAAAUGAAAAUGAACUGGACCAUAAUUUAUUUGAAAAGGAGUCAAGAAGUUAAAGUUAUCAGCCCAUAUUCCAUUUUAAAUUCCGAAUGCGCUUUAUGUCACACAAGUCCAGUCAGAGGCUUCUUUAUGGUUUGAAUUUAUAGCAAACAUUUGAACUUUGCAUAUUUUGCAUUUCGUAUCCAAAGAUAAAUUUGGACAUGAAAGGUGAUAUGUCAAAUACUGACAUGUAUUUGCAUGAACUGGAGGUAGAAACCUCCAAAGGUUGAUUCUGUUCAUCUGGACGUAGCGUUUUGUGGGGGAACGUUUCGUCACUCAUCCAACUAACUUCUUCAGUCUCAGCUGACUGCAGGUUUCCCCAAUCUUAUAACCAGUACAUUGCAUAAUGACUGAAACCAGCCCACUGAAGGAACAAUGGACUGGGAGUUCAGUUCCUUAAUCUUAAUAUAAAGCUUUUCACAGUGGGUACAUUCAUAUAACAGCAGUCAGCACUGUCACGUGGAUAUAUUUGUCCAGCACCUGCAUGUUACAGUCCGUAAUAACUGAAUAAGUAUGUCAAUACAGCUGUUUACCAGCUCAUCACAAAAUAAAUUAUUCAGUACAUAAGUCCAGGCUGUACUGCAGUCUUAUCAGAUGACUUCACAUUGAGAGAAUGUCAGCUAUGAACGGAACAUUAGAGUACGUAAAGGUCGCUAUGAAUAAUAGGACAGCGUUUUCUCCUGUAUCUUCUCCAGUCACCUCUCCGUCCUUAAACCCGAUCACGUUUCAAUCCAGGCCAAGGAAAGGAGGGUAGUAAAAGGAGGUAGGAAGAACACUUGAACGCUCCCAUUUUGUGUUUUAAAUAACAAAAAUCACGGACACGUAGCUACUUCCGCACGUCUACUUCCUGGAACAGAAAAUCUGUCGUACUCGCAGCGGAUCAAUAAAGCUGAUGGUGCUGCUGUAUAAGCGCCAUCACUAAUGCCCGGUCAGUGACGGGCGCUCACGGAUUACCUUAGCGGUGUCGUUCUGUCUGAAAGCCAACUCAAAAUAGCAUUUAGCCGGAAACGAGAAGUUUACCCUCUCCGCCAUUACACGAAAUCUUUUUUAUACGGAUGACGUCACCGCGAGGCGACAAACUCACGUCCACGUCCCACGAAUCUGCCCGUCCUCCACAGUCCAGGUAGGACAGAGGGGAAGGGGGUGCGACAGGGGGUAUAUGGCAGUUUCCCCCACCGAGAUGCGCUCCCGUGCCUUCACCCACAAGCCUGAGUACUUGUACUGGAAGCGACUGCUGAAUGCUGAUUGGUUGAUUCGUGGGCCGGUGUUGUGCCAAAGUAGUUACCCCCGGCAAAAAUUGUUUCCCCAUCCACGAGAGCGCGCAAAGUAGGAGGAGCCACUUGCCCAGCUCCGUUCUGUACGCUACUUGUCACUGAUCUGCAGUCGACGCAAUAAAGAGUAAAAGCUGGAAAACAGCAGACUCGAUUAAUUUAAUAUUAGUUUCGUGACAUUGUAAUGUGCAAUAUGUGGAAGACAAUUUACCUUAAACUGUACACUGAAAUAACCUGCUGGGAAUACUUUGUCUAGAAAAAUACUUUGAUAACAUAAUACUCUAAAACCAGACGCGAUCAUGGCAACACGUCGCUCUCCGGUGAAUUUACACUCGGUUUACACUUUGUGGCGAAGCUAUCACUAAGGAGUUUAUUUGCAAAAUAAGUCACAGUAUAACCAAUAACUACAGUAACUUUGGAGACGAUGUCUUAUUCACAGCAAAAGUUAUGGAGGGAUACAGAUUUUAUCAGGCUGUGUGGCAUCGGCUGCCAAAAUGUGUGUCCCCCCAUCUGUAAUCCAUAUUGGCUUUGCUAUCACAAAGGGUAUAUUUGCCAAAUAAGUCACAGUAUAACCAAUAAGUACAGUAACUUUGGUGACGAUGUCUUAUUCACAGCAAAAGUUAUGGAGGGAUACAGAUUUUAUCAGGCUGUGUGGCAUCGGCUGCCAAAAUGUGUGCCCCCCCACCCCCCCAAUCUAUAAUGAUGCACAUUGGCAG
Long non-coding RNA from Oreochromis aureus, 3780 nucleotides. Lineage: Eukaryota; Metazoa; Chordata; Actinopteri; Cichliformes; Cichlidae. The record is from Ensembl.